RNAcentral lists this long non-coding RNA (379 nucleotides) under Olea europaea subsp. europaea. Lineage: Eukaryota; Viridiplantae; Streptophyta; Magnoliopsida; Lamiales; Oleaceae. The record is from RNAcentral.
CUUUGAAUUAAUGCAAUUUCAUUUCGUUUCCUUUUUCUCUUUUGAGCACCAGACUUAUAUUUAGGAGGCAUAGCGUAUGAGUCUAUAUCUAAUGUCCAAUGAUGAACCUAAAAAACAAUUACAAAAUAUCUCAAUCAUCUCAUAAUUACAAUUUUCAAUAUAGUUACUACGUGCGCUUGUGCAAUUGUUCAUCCUACAAUAACCAAUCAUAUAAGUCGACCAGGUCGCAAUUAUAUAAGUCGACAAGGCUUCAAAUAUUUCCAAUAUCUUCAAUAACAAGUUAGGGCAAGUCAUUGCUUACUUGAGAAGUGGAAUGUCAAUGAAAAUUGUGGAAUUACACCCUUGACAAUUCCACCAUCACAGCACAUAAGUCUGAAAU